Molecule: ribosomal RNA, 404 nt
Filed under: uncultured bacterium
Lineage: Bacteria
Description: bacterial SSU rRNA
Rfam family: Bacterial small subunit ribosomal RNA
Source: RNAcentral
GAAUAUUGCACAAUGGGCGCAAGCCUGAUGCAGCAACGCCGCGUGAGGGAUGACGGCCUUCGGGUUGUAAACCUCUUUUAGUAGGGAAGAAGCGUAAGUGACGGUACCUGCAGAAAAAGCACCGGCUAACUACGUGCCAGCAGCCGCGGUAAUACGUAGGGUGCAAGCGUUGUCCGGAAUUAUUGGGCGUAAAGAGCUCGUAGGCGGCUUGUCGCGUCUGCCGUGAAAACCCAGGGCUCAACUCUGGGCGUGCGGUGGGUACGGGCAGGCUAGAGUGCGGUAGGGGAGAUUGGAAUUCCUGGUGUAGCGGUGGAAUGCGCAGAUAUCAGGAGGAACACCGAUGGCGAAGGCAGAUCUCUGGGCCGUAACUGACGCUGAGGAGCGAAAGCAUGGGGAGCGAACAG